AUGGAGUCUGUGCUCCACUGGGUUUUCCUUGUUGCUAUUUUAAAAGGUGUCCAGGGUGAGGUGCAGCUGGUGGAGUCUGGGGGAGACCUGGUGAAGCCUGGGGGGUCCCUGAGACUCUCCUGUGUGGCUUCUGGAUUCACCUUCAGUAGUUACUGGAUAAGCUGGGUCCGCCAGGCUCCAGGGAAGGGGCUGCAGUGGGUCUCAGUAAUUAACAAGGAUGGAAGCAGCACAUACCACGCAGACGCUGUGAAGGGCCGAUUCACCAUCUCCAGAGACAACGCCAAGAACACGCUGUAUCUGCAGAUGAACAGCCUGAGAGCCGAGGACACGGCCGUGUAUUACUGUGCACACACCCUUCUGCUCCAGAAUAACAGCUUUAUGACGAAGACGUCACAUAGGAUGCUGGUUCUGGGUCUUCAGAGUGUCUGUGGUGUGGGCUGCGGCCACUGUGCUGUCCUGUUUUGGCUGCUAUUUCCUUCAGGCCAGGCGUCCACACAGGCACUCCUUGCCUUCAGGGGGCUGUAUGUGAUCCGUGGCCAGAAU
Non-coding RNA from Nyctereutes procyonoides (raccoon dog), 543 nucleotides. The record is from the annotation of a RefSeq genome assembly. NCBI's taxonomy places the organism in Eukaryota, Metazoa, Chordata, Mammalia, Carnivora, Canidae.